Molecule: ribosomal RNA, 254 nt
Filed under: uncultured bacterium
Lineage: Bacteria
Description: partial 16S ribosomal RNA
Rfam family: Bacterial small subunit ribosomal RNA
Source: RNAcentral
UACGGGGGGAGCAAGCGUUGCUCGGAUUUACUGGGCGUAAAGGGCGCGUAGGCGGCCAGCACAAGUCAGUUGUGAAAUCUCCGAGCUUAACUCGGAAAGGUCAACUGAUACUGUGCGGCUAGAGUGCAGAAGGGGCAACUGGAAUUCUUGGUGUAGCGGUGAAAUGCGUAGAUAUCAAGAGGAACACCUGCGGCGAAGGCGGGUUGCUGGGCUGACACUGACGCUGAGGCGCGAGAGCCAGGGGAGCGAACGGG